This is a long non-coding RNA of Diospyros lotus (date-plum), 332 nucleotides long. RefSeq lists it as uncharacterized. The record is from RefSeq and is a predicted model, not a curated record. The transcript has 3 exons. NCBI's taxonomy places the organism in Eukaryota, Viridiplantae, Streptophyta, Magnoliopsida, Ericales, Ebenaceae.
CAAGUGCUUAGUUGAAGAAGAAGAAGAAGAAGAAGAAGAAGAAUCAAGAAGCCUAGAGGGUUGAAGCAAGCAUGUUCUUGAAAGUUUAAGCUUGUUGGUGGAAGAUUCAUGAAGAAUGAAAAAGAUAAGGGAUAGCCCCAUGGGAUGGUGCCUUGCAAGUUGUUGUUCAUGUGCCAAAAGGAAAAGAGAGUGUUGCAAGCUUGAAGUUGGGAAGCUUAUGGUGGUUAUUUGUUAGUUUUAUGGCUUGUUGAAACCUAGGCAUGUCUUGUAAUUUAUUUGGUUGGUAAUGAUUUGUUAAAGUUUAAGACCAUGGGUGUACUUUAUUUUGGAUA